CAUUGCCGGGUAGCUAAGUUCGAAAGAGAUAACCGCUGAAAGCAUCUAAGCGGGAAACUUGCCUUGAGAUGAGAUUUCCCAGGAACUUGAUUCCUUUGAAGGGUCGUUCGAGACCAGGACGUUGAUAGGCUGGGUGUGGAAGUGCAGUAAUGCAUUAAGCUAACCAGUACUAAUUGCCCGUAAGGCUUGUCCCUAUAACCUUGAUGGGUUAGGAGACGACGAGUAUGGCGUAUGCGAUUGUUGAUGCAUCACGCCCGCUAACUGCACACUGAAGAUGAUUUCAAGGUGUG
Molecule: ribosomal RNA, 290 nt
Filed under: Oxalobacteraceae bacterium IMCC9480
Lineage: Bacteria; Pseudomonadati; Pseudomonadota; Betaproteobacteria; Burkholderiales; Oxalobacteraceae
Description: partial large subunit ribosomal RNA
Rfam family: Bacterial large subunit ribosomal RNA (bases 1-194)
Source: RNAcentral